GGAACAAGGAAUAAGGCUAUGCAGUCAUCAAACAAUUAAUCAUUUAAAGCAGCGAAACACAAAUUGAGGAUCAAUUCAUUUCUUUACAAGAAAUUGGGCAUGAGUACUGGCACUGGUUUUGAAAUGCAAUUUUUUAAUCAUAGCAUAAAGGCACCUCACAAAUCCAUUAAAAAUUCUUAAUCCAAAUAGUCAUCCUAGGAAAACUACAAACUAGUGGAUUAAAAGAAAACAGUUCAACAGAACAUUCUCAGCUAGCGGAUUAAUAAUCAUCUACCAUUACCAAUUUAACUGCCUUGUAAAACAAUUUUACCAACGCCAAAGCUAAUCUAGUGAAGGCUGUGGACUUUAAUAAAAAAACCCCGAUAUUAGAAGAUCAAAUAAGUUAAGAGAUAAAGAAUGUAUCAAAAGAUAGAAAUAAAAAUGCAAACAAUAGUCCAAGAUGACGGGAGAGUAACAUGUGAGAAGACUAUUUAGAACUUAUUUUGACAAGCGUCACUUCCCCCCAAGCCGAGUAAAUAUACCCGCGAUUAUUGUCGACUAACAAGUAGCAACCCUUUUAAGUUCGUUCUCUUCGACGCCGACCAAAAGGGAGACGACUAGACAAGUUAAAGAUAGAAUUUUGACAAUUUUUGCGAUUUGGACAGAACACAUUUUCAAACAUGUAUCAACUAAAGAUCAAAAGAAAUUUUUCAUGAUCGAUGGCCGACAAAUAUCAAAACAUGAUUAAUAUGUUUUGGUCUAAGAAGAUAGAUCUGACAUGAUCGAACCAAAGCUACUUGUAUAAUAGUUGUAAAUUUAAUUAACAAAACAACCACUGAAAGAAACAGAA
Molecule: long non-coding RNA, 829 nt
Filed under: Capsicum annuum
Lineage: Eukaryota; Viridiplantae; Streptophyta; Magnoliopsida; Solanales; Solanaceae
Description: long non-coding RNA (CANN_LNC011429)
Source: RNAcentral